GCGCCCGUAGUGAAAAGGAUAUCACGAGGGUCUCCGGAACCCUAAGUCCGAGUUCGAUUCUCGGCGGGCGCACCA
Molecule: transfer RNA, 75 nt
Filed under: Nitrospira sp.
Lineage: Bacteria; Pseudomonadati; Nitrospirota; Nitrospiria; Nitrospirales; Nitrospiraceae
Also listed under: 15 other names
Description: tRNA-Arg
Rfam family: tRNA
About the family: Transfer RNA (tRNA) molecules are approximately 80 nucleotides in length.
Source: RNAcentral